This 356-nucleotide ribosomal RNA is filed under the name Anopheles gambiae (African malaria mosquito). Its description in RNAcentral is "12S ribosomal RNA". It matches the Rfam family "Microsporidia small subunit ribosomal RNA", at positions 808 to 1311 of the family's 1311-position model. The record is from RNAcentral. Lineage: Eukaryota; Metazoa; Arthropoda; Insecta; Diptera; Culicidae.
UAGAGGAAUCUGUUCUGUAAUUGAUAAUCCACGUUGGACCUCACUUAAUUUUGUUUUCAAUUUGUAUAUCGCCGUCAUCAGAAUAUAUUAUAAGAUUAAUAAUUUUCUUGAUAUUUCAUUAAAUAAUAUGUCAGGUCAAGGUGCAGUUUAUGGUUAAGUAGAAAUGGGUUACAAUAAAUAUAUUUAUACGGAUAAUUUUUUGAAAUAAAAAUUUGAAGGUGGAUUUAAUAGUAAUAUAAAAUAGAUUAUUUAUAUGAUUAUAGCUCUAAAACAUGCACACAUCGCCCGUCGCUCUCAUUUUUAAAAUGAGAUAAGUCGUAACAUAGUAGAUGUACUGGAAAGUGUAUCUAGAAUGA